CAAGCAUACUAAUUGAUCACUUGAAAAAUUUAAAUAAAUUAGGAAAAAAAAUAUAUAGGUUUAUAUUACAAAGAGGAUUUCUAUAGAAGAGGCUAAAAUCAAAUAUUGGGAUGCCACAACGAGUAGUAGGUACUAAAGAAGAUCAACAAAGACUAUUCAAGAAGUUUCAUGAUAGUCUAUGGAUGAGACAUAGAAGAAUUUGGGCUACUUUUGUUAAAUUGAAAAAACAAGAUUGAUAGAAGAAAAUGUAUUGAGCUGUAGUUUUAUUUGUAGAAUCUUAUCUAACUUAUUAGACGUAUUCAAAUAUAUGAUAUUAAGAUGGAUUACAUCUAAUAUAUCUUUAGGUUAUUCAUUUUAAAUAGAUUGUAGAUUUGAUGAUUAUGCAUAUA
RNAcentral lists this long non-coding RNA (389 nucleotides) under Physcomitrium patens. Its description in RNAcentral is "long non-coding RNA (PPAT_LNC006537)". Lineage: Eukaryota; Viridiplantae; Streptophyta; Bryopsida; Funariales; Funariaceae. The record is from RNAcentral.